AUUUUGCAAAGGCAGAAAGAUGAAGAACAUUAAUGCACUACGGUUUGUUUUCCUGCAGGGUCAUACCAUUGUCUUUGCCCUUCACAAAGCUCUCCCACUCUCUGAACCACUGCAUGCUGAUGCACAGGAUCACCAUCGGAGCCUCUUCAGCUUGAAACUCUUUGUUCAGCUACAGACAAGAGAAAACCCGUUCAACAUCCAACACAAAGCAUGAAGACACAUUUAAGCACAGAUCAAGAUUGUAUCACACACCUCCGUGCUGACAAAGAAAUGUGUGGUUGCUUAUGGGGCCCGGUUCGGCGAAAGUGUUGAACUUGUUCAGCCAUUCUCUGGAGAUGUAAAACUGUAGCAGGCUGGGCUCCUUCAUAUUGGCCAGAGCCACCACCUUCUGCCUCUCUCGCAGCGACUCCUCGCUAGUUUUCCUGCACGAGUCCAGGAAGAAACACAGUCUGUAACAUAAUUUUGAAUAAAUAGAUUAUGUAUUAUGAUGGAGUUUUUAAAUGCUUACCUGUAGAACAACACGUAGGCCUCUGCAUUCUGCACCACUGUCUCAUGGACCUCUGUGACAUACUGGUCAUCAAACUCAUACCACUGGCCAUUGAUCACAUUCUGACAGUAAGCUAUGUAGUGUCCACCUGCAGCACCAGAAAAAGGUGCCAUGGUGACAAAUGACUGACAGCAGAUCAUAAGUGGUGACUUGGGAUGGACUCUCUUUAGCCAGGAAAGGUCGCAUGUCGAGGCCUUCCAACGGGAAGGAUACGUGGCUGCUAAUCUUGAACGAAUACAUGACCUCGUGCCGGAAGCGUUUCAGGAACCCCCUCCUCAGCUGCUGUAUCCACAUCAGCGUCCUCAUCCAUCUCUUGCGAGCCUCCACGGAGGGGUGAGCCAGACACUCUCCUUUCCUUCAGCCUCUCCUUUUCCGAGAUCACCCCGCCGGUACCGACGCCCACUAUCCCCCCUGCUGCUGACCUGACCCCGUCACACUCAUCCUGCAUUAGGAGCUCGCCGUCACCCACUCCUCCCCCCUCCCCACGGUCACUGCUGGAGCCAGAGUCGCAGGAUAAGAAUUCAUCCUCAGACGGGGAACGGUCUCCGUCUCUUAUCUCCUCCCCAUCACUUCCCUCCCUGCUCAUGCUGCACUCUGCCAGAGGCUCCUUCAGCUCUUCGUGUAAUUGGUCCAUCAGACAGCGCAGGAACUCUUGUGUGUCCUGUAGCAAGAAAAGCACAUUGCAUUCACCCAAAAUGAGGAUGCAUGAGUGUGUCUACAUGUACACAAACACAGACAGGAGUUUUGCAGAGACGAUGACUGACUAUUUCAAAACAAGAAGAUAGACAGAGAAAUGUGUGAGUAAUGUUGUAUGUGUUGUUUGCAACAAAAACCCAUUUUCUACAUUGGUAAGAAGUGGUACAAGGAGGACCUAAUCAUACCCACUGAAGACAUGUAAAACUCAUCAUUUAAAAACUUUUUGUUUGACUUUAUCAGUCAAACAAAAUCAGACACUUCCAAUUAAACAUAUAAUAAGCCUGAGUAAAACAUGAAACCAUUUCUAAACAUAAUUAUUGUAUUACAAAGAAUCAGACAAACUC
Long non-coding RNA from Sander lucioperca (pikeperch), 1587 nucleotides. RefSeq lists it as uncharacterized. The record is from RefSeq and is a predicted model, not a curated record. NCBI's taxonomy places the organism in Eukaryota, Metazoa, Chordata, Actinopteri, Perciformes, Percidae. The transcript is spliced from 4 exons.